Long non-coding RNA from Aricia agestis (brown argus), 107 nucleotides. RefSeq lists it as uncharacterized. The transcript has 3 exons. NCBI's taxonomy places the organism in Eukaryota, Metazoa, Arthropoda, Insecta, Lepidoptera, Lycaenidae. The record is from RefSeq and is a predicted model, not a curated record.
GAUGGAAAGCACCUCGGUUUUUGUCUCUGCUACCACCCAAUGGUUGACUGGUAGAAAAUGCCAUAUGGCAUUAAGUCCGCCAUUGUACAUUGUGCAAAAAGUAUAAA